Molecule: long non-coding RNA, 611 nt
Filed under: Pongo abelii (Sumatran orangutan)
Lineage: Eukaryota; Metazoa; Chordata; Mammalia; Primates; Hominidae
Description: lincRNA
Source: RNAcentral
ACAAGGAGGGGUCAGAAGAAACACAAUUAUUUUUGUCUGGUGGAAUACAAAAAGAUGUCACAGAGUUGGCAUUUGAAUUGGAUAUUGGAAGAUGAAUGGAAGUACACUAGCUGGAGAUGAAAAGAAUAUAAUGGACUGAGGAAAAGUUCCUUUCCUAAAAUCAAGAAAGCUGUAAAAGGCAUGGGGAUUUUAAUAAUUAUCUUCACUUGGAAUUACAUGUAUGUUGAGUGCAGGGACAAAAUUGAAAAAAUAGUUAUGGCUGAAAAGUUAUAUGGGAAAUUAUUAUCAAAGGCUAUUGAUGUCAAGCUAAGAAGAUUACAUUUUACCUAAAAUGCCUAUGAUCUUUAAAGUGGAUGUAAGACUAGUUCCUCUUCCCCAUUCUUAUGUUUUCCAUAUUGUCCUCUUCCUUGUGAAAAAUUCCACCACCGUUGUCAACGCUUCACUUUAUAUACCAUACUAAUAUAAUACUUUCGCCCAUGAGCAGAAUGGAUGAGAACAUUCUCAGAAAUGUAUUAAAAUUACUACAUAUAUUGUGUUUGAAACGGAAAACCAUGAAUAGAUACCUUUAUAGUAAUAAAUUAAAUCUUAACAGGUGAGUUGCAGAGAAUAUG